Molecule: ribosomal RNA, 550 nt
Filed under: uncultured bacterium
Lineage: Bacteria
Description: bacterial SSU rRNA
Rfam family: Bacterial small subunit ribosomal RNA
Source: RNAcentral
GACUCUGGGAUAAGCCUGGGAAACUGGGUCUAAUACCGGAUACGACCAUCUGGCGCAUGUCAUGGUGGUGGAAAGCUUUUGUGGUUUUGGAUGGACUCGCGGCCUAUCAGCUUGUUGGUGGGGUAAUGGCCUACCAAGGCGACGACGGGUAGCCGGCCUGAGAGGGUGACCGGCCACACUGGGACUGAGACACGGCCCAGACUCCUACGGGAGGCAGCAGUGGGGAAUAUUGCACAAUGGGCGCAAGCCUGAUGCAGCGACGCCGCGUGAGGGAUGACGGCCUUCGGGUUGUAAACCUCUUUCAGUAGGGAAGAAGCGAAAGUGACGGUACCUGCAGAAGAAGCGCCGGCUAACUACGUGCCAGCAGCCGCGGUAAUACGUAGGGCGCAAGCGUUAUCCGGAAUUAUUGGGCGUAAAGAGCUCGUAGGCGGUUUGUCGCGUCUGCUGUGAAAGACCGGGGCUCAACUCCGGUUCUGCAGUGGGUACGGGCAGACUAGAGUGCAGUAAGGGAGACUGGAAUUCCUGGUGUAGCGGUGAAAUGCGCAGAUAU